CCUACGGGAGGCAGCAGUGGGGAAUAUUGCACAAUGGGCGAAAGCCUGAUGCAGCCAUGCCGCGUGUGUGAAGAAGGCCUUCGGGUUGUAAAGCACUUUCAGCGAGGAGGAAAGGAUUUGUUUAAUACGCAACAUCUGUGACGUUACUCGCAGAAGAAGCACCGGCUAACUUUGUGCCAGCAGCCGCGGUAAU
This 193-nucleotide ribosomal RNA is filed under the name uncultured bacterium. Its description in RNAcentral is "partial 16S ribosomal RNA". It matches the Rfam family "Bacterial small subunit ribosomal RNA", at positions 338 to 524 of the family's 1533-position model. The record is from RNAcentral.